AUUGAACGCUGGCGGCAUGCCUUACACAUGCAAGUCGAACGGCAGCACGGGUGCUUGCACCUGGUGGCGAGUGGCGAACGGGUGAGUAAUACAUCGGAACAUGUCCUGUAGUGGGGGAUAGCCCGGCGAAAGCCGGAUUAAUACCACAUACGAUCUACGGAUGAAAGCGGGGGACCUUCGGGCCUCGCGCUAUAGGGUUGGCCGAUGGCUGAUUAGCUAGUUGGGGGGGUAAAGGCCUACCAAGGCGACGAUCAGUAGCUGGUCUGAGAGGACGACCAGCGACACUGGGACGUGGACACGGCCCAGACUCCUAAGGGAGGGAGCAGUUGGGAAUUUUGGACAAUGGGGGAAAGGCUGAUCCAGCAAUGCCGCGUGUGGGAAGAAGGCCUUCGGGUUGUAAAGCACUUUUGUCCGGAAAGAAAUCCUUGGCCCUAAUACGGUCGGGGGAUGACGGUACCGGAAGAAUAAGCACCGGCUAACUACGUG
This 486-nucleotide ribosomal RNA is filed under the name uncultured bacterium. RNAcentral's name for it is "partial 16S ribosomal RNA". It matches the Rfam family "Bacterial small subunit ribosomal RNA", at positions 29 to 507 of the family's 1533-position model. The record is from RNAcentral.